UGCCGGUUCUCCAGUCCACUCCAUAACGAACAACGUAUGUCCUUCGUUUGCCUCAUUCUACCCGUAUGCCACUCACGCUUAUCACUGCAGUAUGAGAGAGAAGUGGAAGAAAAAGAGGUCUCGGAGACUCCGUCGCAAACGCAGAAAAAUGCGGGCUCGCUCUAGUAUGUCUCUUCACCCUCUGAUCGCGCGACCACCUCGCUGAUAUUGUCGGCUUCACCUUACGCAGAGUAAUCGCCCAAGCGGCUUCUAGGCUUGCAAAAUAGGGAUGGCAUGUCACUUCAAGUGGUGUAUUAUGCCCUACUCUUCGACGUCUGGGAAGUCAUGCCGACCCAGUCGCGUCGCCUCACGCCGCCCACCUCAGACCCGGGGAGUGGUGUCUCGAUUAGGUCAGGACGUCGAGGCAGCUAUGGUGCAUUGUAACAAUAGUUCCUGCUUGUCACUUGUAUUGCAAUGAUCUACUUGCCGACA
Molecule: long non-coding RNA, 471 nt
Filed under: Ganoderma lucidum
Lineage: Eukaryota; Fungi; Basidiomycota; Agaricomycetes; Polyporales; Polyporaceae
Description: long non-coding RNA (GLUC_LNC000048)
Source: RNAcentral